ACCCCUUUUUUAAUUCCACAGGAAAAAAAAAAAAGGAUGCAUUUUCCGUGCUCUAAAGACUCAAGUUCAAUCUGACUUCUUAUUUGGUUCAAGGGACUCUCCAAGACAUUGUAUUCUCAUAACCUCCCAGCUAUCAUUAUGGGCUGUAAACUGGUAACCCCAACUCAUUGAGUCACACACAAAAAAUAUGAAAACAGAAGGGGAAAAAAAAGGGAUCAUCAGACGGGACAAGAAAGGCUCAUAAAUAUGAGGAAGAGUCACCCUCGGUGAUUGCUGAGUCCAGAACUGCCAAGCAUGGGUUGACGAAGAGGAGAGUAUGCUAGAGCUUUGGUGUGGCUUUAUUGGAUAAGCAAAUUUUUUAUGAUCUUCAUUACCUAAUAUAGACACCUUCCUGUGA
Meriones unguiculatus (Mongolian gerbil) is the source of this 397-nucleotide long non-coding RNA. RefSeq lists it as uncharacterized. The transcript is spliced from 3 exons. The record is from RefSeq and is a predicted model, not a curated record. NCBI's taxonomy places the organism in Eukaryota, Metazoa, Chordata, Mammalia, Rodentia, Muridae.